RNAcentral lists this ribosomal RNA (253 nucleotides) under uncultured bacterium. Its description in RNAcentral is "partial 16S ribosomal RNA". It matches the Rfam family "Bacterial small subunit ribosomal RNA", at positions 524 to 776 of the family's 1533-position model. The record is from RNAcentral.
UACGUAGGUGACCAGCGUUGUCCGGAUUUACUGGGCGUAAAGAGCGCGCAGGCGGUCGUUCAAGUCGAGUGUGAAAGCCCCCGGCUCAACUGGGGAGGGUCACUCGAUACUGCCAAGCUAGAGUAUCGGAGAGGUUGGUGGAAUUCUCGGUGUAGAGGUGAAAUUCGUAGAUAUCGAGAGGAACACCGGUGGCGAAGGCGGCCAACUGGACGAAUACUGACGCUGAGACUCGAAAGCGUGGGGAGCAAACAGG